AUGUCAUCUAACCUCCGAGGAAUUCAUUGUCCUGUUUCAGUACUAGUGAUGGCUGUGGCUCUUGCCCUUUGUCUCGCUGUCUCUCUCUGUCUCUGUCUCUCUGCCUCCCUCUUUCUCUGUCUCUUCCCCCCCUCUUUCUGUGCCCCCUCUGUCUCUGUCUGUCCUCUCUGUCUCUGUCUCUCUGCCUCCCUCUUUCUCUGUCUCUUCCCCGCCCUUUCUGUGCCCCCUCUGUCUAUCUGUCCUCUCUGUCUCUGUCUCUCUCUGCCUUACCCCCUCUCUGUCUCUCUCUUUCUGCUCCUGCCUCUCUCUCUCUGUCCCCUCUGUCUGUCUCUCUCUGCCUCGCCCCCUCUCUGUCUCUCUUUCUGCCCCAUCUUUUUUCUGCGCCCUCUGCCCCAUCUCUCUCUGUCCCACCUUAGUCUCUCUGUUCCCCUCUAUCUCUGUCUCUCUUUUUUGUCUCUGUCCCUCUGUCUCUCUGCCCCCUGUCUCUCUGUCCCACCUAUGUCUCUCUGUCUCUGUCUCUCUUCUCUGUCUCUGUCUCCCUGUCUCUCUCUCUGCCCCCUGUCUCUCUGUCCCACCUAUGUCUCUCUGUCUCUGUCUCUCUUCUCUAUCUGUCUCUGUCUCCCUGUCUCUCUCUCUGUCCCCCUCUGUCUCUGUCUCUCACUCUCCCCCACCCCCUGGCUUUGCUCAUGUUCACCAGGAGGGGUGUUAUGGUUUCUGGUUGUUUCCUUGCAGGUGUUUCAGGGGCUAUAA
RNAcentral lists this long non-coding RNA (750 nucleotides) under Monodelphis domestica (gray short-tailed opossum). RNAcentral describes it as "lncRNA (ENSMODG00000048638.1)". The record is from RNAcentral. Lineage: Eukaryota; Metazoa; Chordata; Mammalia; Didelphimorphia; Didelphidae.